GGGGAUGUAGCUCAGUGGUAGAGCGCAUGCUUUGCAUGUAUGAAGGUCCGGGUUCAAUCCCCGGCAUCUCCA
This 72-nucleotide transfer RNA is filed under the name Saimiri boliviensis boliviensis (Bolivian squirrel monkey). Its description in RNAcentral is "tRNA-Ala (TGC) (tRNA-Ala-TGC-6-1)". It matches the Rfam family "tRNA". From Rfam's summary of the family: Transfer RNA (tRNA) molecules are approximately 80 nucleotides in length. Their secondary structure includes four short double-helical elements and three loops (D, anti-codon, and T loops). The record is from Rfam by way of RNAcentral. Lineage: Eukaryota; Metazoa; Chordata; Mammalia; Primates; Cebidae.